UGUUUCUUGCCAGUUCUGUUCUCUUGUAAUUCAAGGCAUUUGAACCAACUGGGGGUAAUUGGUGGGCAUUUGAAUGGCAUGAAAUUCAAGGGAAAAAGAGGAGGUAUGAUAAUUUUCUGGGAAUUUAUAAAUAUCCUAACAAGAAAAGACUAAAAAGUAUGCGAUAGAAAUAUGAGAUUAGACCUAAAAUAAAUUAUAAUAUUGUUAAAGAAUUUUGUUAAAAUAACCCUACAUUUAGUAAAAAUUCAUUAUCUCUCUUGCCCCCAGUCUAUUAGUGGCCUAUUAGAGUCUAUUUCUCAAGAACUCAGUGUUGAAAUUUUGAGGUCGGUCAUCUCUUUUAGCCCCUUUAUCUAGUUAUAGAGGUCUUCUUCCUUAUGCCUUCAGAAUGUCGUGUACACAAAUCUGGGAUAGAUGGAGUAGGUGUCUGUUGACAUGGAUUUGAGGGGUUUCAGGGGACACCACUGUUGUGGGUCUGGAAGAUGGUUUGAUCUUUAAAGAAUGCACAAAUUCAACCUCCUUGAAAAAGGGUGAAAAAUCUAUUGGUUGACACCUAUGGGCUUAAAGGAUUUGGUUGGACAGAUACUAAACCAGGGGUUGGAGGAGGGAGCAAGCAGGAAGAAGGAAAGAAACGCAGGAGCAGAGAUGAACUUUAGAAAUAUAUUGUCAAAAUAAAAUCAAUCCUCAAGAAAUUAUGAUCCGGAGUGCAUUAUCCCCUCCUUCGGGAAGAAUGGACAUCUUUACAAGAUUAAGUCUACCCAACGAGGAACAUGAUGGAGUAAGUUAAGAUGAGGUCAUACUGGAUUAGAAUGGCCCCUAAAGCCAAUGACUGGUGUUCUCAUAAGAAGGCCAUGUGAAGAAAUACAGACACGGGCAGAGGGAAGAUGGCAUGUGGAGACAGAGGCAAAGAAUGGAGUGAUGCAGCUACAAGCCAAGGAACACCAAGGAUUGCUGGCAAACCACCAGAAGCUAGGAGAGAGGUGAGAAAGGAUUCUGCCCUAGAGCUUCAGAGAGAGCAUAGCCUCGCUGACACCUUGGUUUCAGACUUCUGGCUUUCAGAACUGUAAGAGAACAAAUUUCUAUUGUUUUAAGCAACCCACUUUGUGGUACUUUUUUACACUUGUCCUCGGAAACUAAUACAUCAAGUAUCUAUUUCAUCUCACAGAUGUACAAAGUAGCGACUAAAGGAGAAAUCCAGUAACUAAGUUAAGAAAUUAUUAUUU
RNAcentral lists this long non-coding RNA (1220 nucleotides) under Equus caballus (horse). Its description in RNAcentral is "lncRNA (ENSECAG00000052287.1)". The record is from RNAcentral. Lineage: Eukaryota; Metazoa; Chordata; Mammalia; Perissodactyla; Equidae.